This 193-nucleotide non-coding RNA is filed under the name Corchorus olitorius. Its description in RNAcentral is "Bacterial large subunit ribosomal RNA". It matches the Rfam family "Bacterial large subunit ribosomal RNA", at positions 1 to 199 of the family's 2925-position model. Lineage: Eukaryota; Viridiplantae; Streptophyta; Magnoliopsida; Malvales; Malvaceae. The record is from Rfam by way of RNAcentral.
GGACAAGUGAAUAAGUGCACAUGGUGGAUGCCUUGGCGAUUACAGGCGAUGAAGGACGUAGUAGCUUGCGAUAAGCUGCGGGGAGCUAGCAAACGAGCUUUGAUCCGCAGAUUUCCGAAUGGGGAAACCCGGCCUUUUAGGUCAUUGCAUACUGAAUACAUAGGUAUGCAAAGCGAACGCGGCGAACUGAAAC